UACACCAUCUCUACAAACCUAACUACACAAACUACCACUCCUCAAACUUUCCUUUGUCUCCCGACACCCAUUCAAUUCACCUUACUUAAAGUUUUCUUCUUUUCUGAGCCAUUAUUAUCUUCUUCUUUUUCUAUAUUAUUUCAGUGUUGCUACCUUCUCUAUUCUUGCUCCAAUUUGGACCUUUUGUUGUAUGGGUUUCAGGUUUAGGAGAUUUAAUUUUACUUCGCAGAUGUUUGCUCCUAUUGUUCCGUGCUUUACUUGUGAUUAGUGCGGCAGGCUGCAGCAUCAGAAAAGGAUGAUAAUGUGAUAUCUUUUCUCCAAUUUGACAUGACAUAGGGAGUGCAUGUGGCUGAUGUUUGUUGGUGGACGAGAGAGAAGGACAAACGGAGGAAGAACCGGAAGUAUGAUUCCUCCGAAGAAAGGAAAAUUCAAAUAUUUAUUUCUUUUAUGUUUGCAUCUCAGAUCAUUAUAUAUUAAUUUCUUUUAUAUGUUUAAUUAAAUUUGUAGAGUUAUUUGAAUUCUCAAGUUUAUCAAUACAUGUUGUAUCAAGGUGUUUUUCAUUUCUUCCUCACUUUUUAGUAAUUAAACUAGUUAUCAAAUUUUGAGGAACAUAAGCGAAUUUGGUUGAUGCUGCUGGAAUGAGACUUAGAAUCCGCCCAAUGGCUUGAGAAGUUAAAUUGGAGAUGGUGCUUGGAUGACCAAUGUUAAGAACGUAUUUUGACAUGCCAAGUCGCAGUGCACUUGAAGUCAUAGGUGUUUGAGAGAACAUGCAUGAUGAGCUAACCCAUCAGCUGCAUAUUUCCUUUCCUUGUAGACAUGAUGGAUGUUAUAUGUUUGAUUGACAAGACAUGUAUAUUAAUUUUGAUCUAUUAAUUUGUAUUUCACUUAAUAUA
This is a long non-coding RNA of Glycine soja, 893 nucleotides long. RefSeq lists it as uncharacterized. The transcript has 2 exons. NCBI's taxonomy places the organism in Eukaryota, Viridiplantae, Streptophyta, Magnoliopsida, Fabales, Fabaceae. The record is from RefSeq and is a predicted model, not a curated record.